UACGGGGGGGGCAAGCGUUGUUCGGAAUUACUGGGCGUAAAGGGUUCGUAGGUGGCCAACUAAGUCAGACGUGAAAUCCCUCAGCUUAACUGGGGAACUGCGUCUGAGACUGGAUGGCUUGAGUGCAGGAGAGGAACGCGGAAUUCCAGGUGUAGCGGUGAAAUGCGUAGAUAUCGGAAGGAACAUCAGUGGCGAAAGCGACUUCCUGGACCAAUACUGACGCUCAUGUGCGAAAGCGUGGGGAGCAAACAGG
This 253-nucleotide ribosomal RNA is filed under the name uncultured bacterium. RNAcentral describes it as "partial 16S ribosomal RNA". It matches the Rfam family "Bacterial small subunit ribosomal RNA", at positions 524 to 776 of the family's 1533-position model. The record is from RNAcentral.